RNAcentral lists this ribosomal RNA (433 nucleotides) under uncultured bacterium. RNAcentral's name for it is "partial 16S ribosomal RNA". It matches the Rfam family "Bacterial small subunit ribosomal RNA", at positions 29 to 507 of the family's 1533-position model. The record is from RNAcentral.
AGCGAACGCUGGCGGCAUGCCUAACACAUGCAAGUCGAACGAGACCUUCGGGUCUAGUGGCGCACGGGUGCGUAACGCGUGGGAACCUGCCCUUAGGUUCGGAAUAACUCCCCGAAAGGGGUGCUAAUACCGGAUAAUGUCUUCGGACCAAAGAUUUAUCGCCUUUGGAUGGGCCCGCGUUGGAUUAGCUAGUUGGUAGGGUAAAAGCCUACCAAGGCGACGAUCCAUAGCUGGUCUGAGAGGAUGAUCAGCCACACUGGGACUGAGACACGGCCCAGACUCCUACGGGAGGCAGCAGUGGGGAAUAGUGGACAAUGGGCGAAAGCCUGAUCCAGCAAUGCCGCGUGAGUGAUGAAGGCCUUAGGGUUGUAAAGCUCUUUUACCCGGGAUGAUAAUGACAGUACCGGGAGAAUAAGCUCCGGCUAACUCCGUG